UCUUUCUGUAAGUGUAGAUGAGGACCUGAAAGGUGUCUGUGCAGGGUUUCACAGGGUGUGCUGUGUGAUUGUAUAUAGGUCUAACAUUACUUAUAAUCAUGAAUACAAUUACCAUUCUUCUGUGUACCCUCGCCAUGCCGGUCAUAAGCCAAACUAAUGAAAUCGUUCCUGUGAGAAUCCUGUCCCAACAGAAAAGUAUAAGUGAGAAUAGUAACCUAUAUGUAACCUGCAGCACAUUUGGGUUCAAGAAAAACCAACAAAAGGUUUUUGUCUAUUUAUGUAAGGACGGCCUUGGAAUCCUUAAACUGGUGCAGAAGCAAGAUCAACACGAUACCACCUUCACCAUGUACAAUGUUGGUCGUAAUUACAGUGGAAAUUACAGCUGUGCUUACUCUAGAGCAGAGUAUAAGCCUUCUGAAGUAGCUACGAAAGGACACAACAUCAUCCAGAUUCUAGUUAUAGCCAAUUUUCUCCCUGCAGAUAUUUCAGUAGCUGGCCAAUCUACUGUCAACGAGGGAGACAAUGUCGAAUUCAGGUGUACUGUCUCUGACACCCUGCAAACACUCGGCAAAUGUCAGCUCAUCCAGUCUUACCUGAGGAGGAAUGAGAUUGUCCUCCAAGUGCAAGUGUUUAAUGUCACUCGGAUGGAGACGACUUUCACUAUUGAGGAUGCCGUCACAAGGGACACGGGUCAUUACAGCUGCGUGGUGCUGCCGUCUAAAUGCAUCCAGUCGCAUGAAAAAACACUCCAUGGAAAAAACGCAGUAUUCCUUGAGGUCAAAGUGAAUUUGCUUUUACGUGUGGCUGUCUCUUGUGGAGUGAUAUCCCUGAUGUUAUUACUGUGUGUGUGUCUGUGGUGGAUCACAAAAAAACAAGGCCACUCAGGUUUACACAAUCAAUGCACAGUGAGUCAGCAGGCCAAUACAGGCAUGGUGGAGGAGGAGCUGGGGCAGACAGAGGGACAGGAUCUGGAAGCACAAGACGAAGAAUCUUUCAGCAUGGGGGAGGAAAAAGGAUAUCAGAAUGGCAUGGCUGCUGAAGACUCAACUUACUCUGAUGAUUAUGAGGAAUGAUGAAGAGGGAUUGUACAGUAUUGUCGAUGAGAGUGGUGAUGAGUAUGAGAACUUAGAUCAGAUGUAUACCAACGGACACAUUUUCAGUGAUAAAAGAUGAUCCACCUGCAAUACCAAUUCCAUCAGCUGUGUAUGCCAUGUCCAUCAGACGGAAGUGAAGUGAAGUUAAAGACAUAACUUAACACCUGCCUUUGCUGCACCCCUGUGUUAUUCACAGCUAUUCCAUGGAAGAAAGGCAAAGUUAAUGAACAACUGUAGAUGUUUUCUGGAAGUACAGUGGCUAUGGAACAUGUGAACUCUACUCUACAUAUGUUUCUUUUUUAACCAUGAACAGUAUAAGUGUUGAUUUCAUAAUUCUGUUGAGUCAUUUUAUUGUGUGUGUUGUGAACAAAUAUUUGUUGCAUUUAAUCAGACACAUUUGUUCUUUGUUGAUUCCAUUGUCCAAUCAUGCAUAGAAUGAUACUUUUAUAAGCAUACUUUUGAUUACAUGUGCAUUGCAGUAAUUGCUACUUUGUAGUUUUCAAUUUUGGUGACAGGGUCCACCGUAUCCUCUCUGGUUUCAAAUUGCCUACCUACACACAAUCCUGCUUGACUUUCUGUAAUUGUAUCUCAUGGAUAACACCGGUGCUAGCUAAACAUUUCCUACUGCUGUUGCUCCCUAUCAAAAGCAUUCGGAUAGCAAAAUGCAGGAUGGUUUUGUGAAAUGCAAUGUAUUUAUCCUCUAGCUCUGACAUCAGCUUAAUCAAAAAUAAAAUCUUGUCUACAAAACAAGAUUUUUUU
Lates calcarifer (barramundi perch) is the source of this 1853-nucleotide RNA transcript. RefSeq lists it as uncharacterized. The transcript has 11 exons. NCBI's taxonomy places the organism in Eukaryota, Metazoa, Chordata, Actinopteri, Centropomidae. The record is from RefSeq and is a predicted model, not a curated record.